GGGAACUGCAUCUGAUACUGUUAAGCUAGAGUAGGUGAGAGGGAAGUAGAAUUCCAGGUGUAGCGGUGAAAUGCGUAGAGAUCUGGAGGAAUACCGAUGGCGAAGGCAGCUUCCUGGCAUCAUACUGACACUGAGGCUCGAAAGCGUGGGUAGCAAACAGGAUUAGAUACCCUGGUAGUCCACGCCGUAAACGAUGUCUACUAGUCGUUGGGGAACUUGAUUCCUUAGUGACGCAGCUAACGCAAUAAGUAGACCGCCUGGGGAGUACGGCCGCAAGGUUAAAACUCAAAUGAAUUGACGGGGGCCCGCACNAGCGGUGGAGCAUGUGGUUUANUUNGAUGCAACGCGAAGAACCUUACCUGGUCUUGACAUAUCUAGAAUCCUGCAGAGAUGCGGGAGUGCCUUCGGGAAUUAGAAUACAGGUGCUGCAUGGCUGUCGUCAGCUNGUGUCGUGAGAUGUUGGGUUAAGUCCCGCAACGAGCGCAACCCUUGUCCUUAGUUACCAGCGGGUUAAGCCGGGAACUCUAAGGAUACUGCCAGUGACAAACUGGAGGAAGGCGGGGACGACGUCAAGUCAUCAUGGCCCUUACGACCAGGGCUACACACNUGCUACAAUGGUAGGUACAGAGGGCAGCUACACAGCGAUGUGAUGCGAAUCUCAAAAAGCCUAUCGUAGUCCAGAUUGGAGUNUGCAACUCGACUCCAUGAAGUAGGAAUCGCUAGUAAUCGCGGAUCAGAAUGCCGCGGUGAAUACGUUCCCGGGCCUUGUACACACCGCCCGUCACACCAUGGGAGUUGAUUGCACCAGAAGUGGUUAGCCGAACC
Molecule: ribosomal RNA, 825 nt
Filed under: Psychrobacter sp.
Lineage: Bacteria; Pseudomonadati; Pseudomonadota; Gammaproteobacteria; Moraxellales; Moraxellaceae
Description: bacterial SSU rRNA
Rfam family: Bacterial small subunit ribosomal RNA
Source: RNAcentral